Molecule: ribosomal RNA, 253 nt
Filed under: uncultured bacterium
Lineage: Bacteria
Description: partial 16S ribosomal RNA
Rfam family: Bacterial small subunit ribosomal RNA
Source: RNAcentral
UACGGAGGAUCCAAGCGUUAUCCGGAUUCAUUGGGUUUAAAGGGUGCGUAGGCGGAAUGAUAAGUCAGUGGUGAAAUCCUUCAGCUUAACUGGAGAAUUGCCAUUGAUACUGUCAAUCUUGAGUACAUUUGAUGUGGGCGGAAUAUGUCAUGUAGCGGUGAAAUGCAUAGAUAUGACAUAGAACACCAAUUGCGAAGGCAGCUCACUAAGCAGACAUUGACGCUGAGGCACGAAAGCGUGGGGAUCAAACAGG